UGGGGAAUUUUGGACAAUGGGCGCAAGCCUGAUCCAGCCAUGCCGCGUGCGGGAAGAAGGCCUUCGGGUUGUAAACCGCUUUUGUCAGGGAAGAAAUCUUCUGAGUUAAUACCUCGGGAGGAUGACGGUACCUGAAGAAUAAGCACCGGCUAACUACGUGCCAGCAGCCGCGGUAAUACGUAGGGUGCAAGCGUUAAUCGGAAUUACUGGGCGUAAAGCGUGCGCAGGCGGUUUUGUAAGACAGAGGUGAAAUCCCCGGGCUCAACCUGGGAACUGCCUUUGUGACUGCAAGGCUUGAGUGCGGCAGAGGGGGAUGGAAUUCCGCGUGUAGCAGUGAAAUGCGUAGAUAUGCGGAGGAACACCGAUGGCGAAGGCAAUCCCCUGGGCCUGCACUGACGCUCAUGCACGAAAGCGUGGGGAGCAAACAGGAUUAGAUACCCUGGUAGUCCACGCCCUAAACGAUGUCAACUAGUUGUUGGGGAUUCAUUUCCUUAGUAACGUAGCUAACGCGUGAAGUUGACCGCCUGGGGAGUACGGCCGCAAGAUU
Molecule: ribosomal RNA, 547 nt
Filed under: uncultured bacterium
Lineage: Bacteria
Description: partial 16S ribosomal RNA
Rfam family: Bacterial small subunit ribosomal RNA
Source: RNAcentral